UGGCGGACGGGUGAGUAACGCGUGGAUAACCUGCCUUAUACAGGGGGAUAACAGGGAGAAAUUCUUGCUAAUACCCCAUAGGUAUGUCUGACGCAUGUUGGACAUAUUAAAGCUUUGGCGGUAUAAGAUGGGUCCGCGUCUGAUUAGCUAGUUGGUGGGGUAAAGGCCCACCAAGGCGACGAUCAGUAGCCGGCUUGAGAGAGUGGACGGCCACAUUGGGACUGAGACACGGCCCAAACUCCUACGGGAGGCAGCAGUGGGGAAUAUUGCACAAUGGGGGAAACCCUGAUGCAGCGACGCCGCGUGAAGGAAGAAGGUCUUCGGAUCGUAAACUUCUAUCAGCAGGGAAGAAGGAAGUGACAGUACCUGAGUAAGAAGCCCCGGCUAACUACGUGCCAGCAGCCGCGGUAAUACGUAGGGGGCGAGCGUUAUCCGGAAUUACUGGGUGU
Molecule: ribosomal RNA, 449 nt
Filed under: uncultured bacterium
Lineage: Bacteria
Description: bacterial SSU rRNA
Rfam family: Bacterial small subunit ribosomal RNA
Source: RNAcentral